CUCAGAACCACUCACAACUUUGUCUCGCUGAACAGUUACAACACUUCACCUCAGUGAACAUGGAAAAACUCGCUGCUCUUUUGUUCUUCUCAGCUCUCGUAGGAAACAGCUUGGAGGAUGAUAUUACUGCCAGCAGAGCUGAAGUGUUUUCAUCAGAGGGUCGUACUGUUACUCUGUCCUGUAAAUAUUCAGUUAAAGCUGAAAACCUCCAGUGGUACCGACAGGAUCCUGGAUCAGGUCCUCAGUAUCUUCUCCUCAUCACUGACACAAAGGAGCCUGAUGUGGUGAAAGCAAAACCUCCACACCCUGGACUGACUGCUGAACUGAACGAGGAGAGGAAUCGAGUGGAUCUGCAGAUCUCCUCUGCUGCAGUGACAGACUCUGCUGUGUACUACUGUGCUCUGACGCCCACAGUGACAGGAAACAGCACAACUCUGUACAAAAACCUUUGGAGCAAAGACAACAGAAUACUCCACAACAUCCACUAGAGGGAGUCACACACU
Toxotes jaculatrix (banded archerfish) is the source of this 503-nucleotide non-coding RNA. Lineage: Eukaryota; Metazoa; Chordata; Actinopteri; Toxotidae. The record is from the annotation of a RefSeq genome assembly.